Molecule: ribosomal RNA, 220 nt
Filed under: uncultured Hyphomicrobium sp.
Lineage: Bacteria; Pseudomonadati; Pseudomonadota; Alphaproteobacteria; Hyphomicrobiales; Hyphomicrobiaceae
Description: partial 16S ribosomal RNA
Rfam family: Bacterial small subunit ribosomal RNA
Source: RNAcentral
GAACGCUGGCGGCAGGCCUAACACAUGCAAGUCGAACGCCCUAGCAAUAGGGAGUGGCAGACGGGUGAGUAACACGUGGGAACCUUCCCUAUAGUACGGAAUAUACCAGGGAAACUUGGAGCAAUACCGUAUACGCCCGAAAGGGGAAAGAUUUAUCGCUAUAGGAUGGGCCCGCGUAGGAUUAGCUAGUUGGUGAGGUAAUGGCUCACCAAGGCGACGA